GGAAUCGCUAGUAAUCGGAGAUCAGCUACGCUCCGGUGAAUACGUUCCUGAGCCUUGUACACACCGCCCGUCAAGUCAUGGAAGCCGGGAGCGCCCGAAGUCGCCGCGAUUCAGCGGUGCCUACGGCGAGCUCGGUGACUGGGACUAAGUCGUAACAAGGUAGCCGUAGGGGAACCUGCGGCUGGAUCACCUCCUUUCUAAGG
RNAcentral lists this ribosomal RNA (203 nucleotides) under Phycisphaerales bacterium. RNAcentral describes it as "partial 16S ribosomal RNA". It matches the Rfam family "Bacterial small subunit ribosomal RNA", at positions 1328 to 1533 of the family's 1533-position model. The record is from RNAcentral. Lineage: Bacteria; Pseudomonadati; Planctomycetota; Phycisphaerae; Phycisphaerales.